Molecule: ribosomal RNA, 253 nt
Filed under: uncultured bacterium
Lineage: Bacteria
Description: partial 16S ribosomal RNA
Rfam family: Bacterial small subunit ribosomal RNA
Source: RNAcentral
GACAGAGGGUGCAAACGUUGCUCGGAAUUACUGGGCGUAAAGCGCGUGUAGGCGGUUCCGCAAGUCAGGUGUGAAAGCCCAGGGCUCAACCCUGGAAGUGCACUUGAUACUACGGAGCUUGAGUACUGAAGAGGAGAGCGGAAUUCCCGGUGUAGAGGUGAAAUUCGUAGAUAUCAGGAGGAACACCGAUGGCGAAGGCAGGUCUCUGGGCCACUACUGACGCUGAGAAGCGAAAGCAUGGGGAGCGAACAGG